This 469-nucleotide ribosomal RNA is filed under the name uncultured bacterium. RNAcentral's name for it is "bacterial SSU rRNA". It matches the Rfam family "Bacterial small subunit ribosomal RNA", at positions 328 to 794 of the family's 1533-position model. The record is from RNAcentral.
GUACCAGACUCCUACGGGAGGCAGCAGUGAGGAAUAUUGGUCAAUGGGCGGGAGCCUGAACCAGCCAAGUCGCGUGAGGGAAGACGGUCCUAUGGAUUGUAAACCUCUUUUGUCGGGGAGCAAAGAGGCCUCGUGAGGUCAAAAGCGAGAGUACCCGAAGAAAAAGCAUCGGCUAACUCCGUGCCAGCAGCCGCGGUAAUACGGAGGAUGCGAGCGUUAUCCGGAUUUAUUGGGUUUAAAGGGUGCGCAGGCGGAAUGUCAAGUCAGCGGUAAAAUUUCGGGGCUCAACCCCGUCGUGCCGGUGAAACUGGCGUUCUUGAGUGAGCGAGAAGUAUGCGGAAUGCGUGGUGUAGCGGUGAAAUGCAUAGAUAUCACGCAGAACCCCGAUUGCGAAGGCAGCAUGCCGGCUUCCGACUGACGCUGAAGCACGAAAGCGUGGGGAUCGAACAGGAUUAGAUACCCUUGUAUA